CCGCCUGGGGAGUACGGUCGCAAGAUUAAAACUCAAAUGAAUUGACGGGGGCCCGCACAAGCGGUGGAGCAUGUGGUUUAAUUCGAUGCAACGCGAAGAACCUUACCUACUCUUGACAUCCAGAGAAGCUUGAAGAGAUUCGAGUGUGCCUUCGGGAACUCUGAGACAGGUGCUGCAUGGCUGUCGUCAGCUCGUGUUGUGAAAUGUUGGGUUAAGUCCCGCAACGAGCGCAACCCUUAUCCUUGUUUGCCAGCACUUCGGGUGGGAACUCCAGGGAGACUGCCGGUGAUAAACCGGAGGAAGGUGGGGACGACGUCAAGUCAUCAUGGCCCUUACGAGUAGGGCUACACACGUGCUACAAUGGCAUAUACAGAGGGCAGCAAGACCGCGAGGUGGAGCGAAUCCCAGAAAGUAUGUCGUAGUCCGGAUCGGAGUCUGCAACUCGACUCCGUGAAGUCGGAAUCGCUAGUAAUCGUGGAUCAGAAUGCCACGGUGAAUACGUUCCCGGGCCUUGUACACACCGCCCGUCACACCAUGGGAGUGGGCUGCACCAGAAGUAGAUAGCUUAACCUUCGGGAGGGCGUUUACCACGGUGUGGUUCAUGACUGGGGUGAAGUCGUAACAAGGUAGCCCUAGGGGAACCUGGGGCUGGAUCACCUCCUUACAAAAAAG
This 672-nucleotide ribosomal RNA is filed under the name Vibrio parahaemolyticus. Its description in RNAcentral is "bacterial SSU rRNA". It matches the Rfam family "Bacterial small subunit ribosomal RNA", at positions 869 to 1533 of the family's 1533-position model. Lineage: Bacteria; Pseudomonadati; Pseudomonadota; Gammaproteobacteria; Vibrionales; Vibrionaceae. The record is from RNAcentral.